AGAAAAACACCAGUAGAAGACGUAGCGGAGGAGAAAGGGGCAGAAGAAGAGGAAUAAUACAUUAUUGGAUCUGAACCCAGGGUGGGAAAAGCAUGCUUGGUUGGUCUGAUCCGAAGGAGACACUCUGCUCUGCUUGGAAGCAUUACCUUCAGGAGAACAACAGGAAUUUUGUGGGCCCUGUUUUGCUGCUGGAAUCCUUUGAGGGAGCAAGCAUUCAUGUUCACAUGCUAUUUGUCGUUUCAAAAUUAUUUAAGAAACCACCACAGGGAAUUUUUCCCCCAGUGACCUUUGGCAGAGGAGCUGAUUGGUGUGCCCCAGCUGCAGACCAUCAUUUUCCUGGGAAAGUUUUAAGACUGUCAGAAAAAUGACAAUAUUCUUUCCUAGCCCUUACUGACAUGUAUGGGCUUUGCUGGUCUUUCCAACUCCAGUUUGGGAGGGGUUGUUUGUUUUCCUUUUAAAUGUUAUCCUGCCAUCCUCCUUUUUUAACAAUGCUGUAUAUACAUGAAGACUUGCUGUGUAUUCAGUGUGGCACAUGGAUGGAGUCGAUGCUUUGAACUACUUUUGCAACAAUGGAUUAUGCUUGACUGAUAAUGAAACCAUGGGAUAGACCUCAGGGAGUAAAGAGAUGAGGGAUCCUGAGACCACUGUGCCAUGUGGGACAACAACUGAAUGUGUCAAAGAAUGUGAACAUGAGUCUUAUCACAAGUAAUGCUGGUUGAAGUUGAAGAGGCUGAAAAAUUCUCCUCUGCAUCAUGCAGUCCACUGUUACAUGUUCUUUCCUCGGAGCUGAUGUCAAAGUUUGUUCGUAACAGAAUCAUUGUAUCAUUAAAGAAUUAAGGCUCCAUUGCUUCAGCUUGCAAAGAAGCUUCUCCAAAGCAUGAAAUACCAAAAGGAAAAGCCUCUGGCCAAGUUCUACCAUGGAUACACAGAAUUCAGUGGUGUCUGCCUCCAACCAGGUGAAAGAAAGAGCCAGUCAUCAUCCGUCUAAGGCAUCCCUCUGUGCAGGACCU
Molecule: long non-coding RNA, 1010 nt
Organism: Catharus ustulatus (Swainson's thrush)
Lineage: Eukaryota; Metazoa; Chordata; Aves; Passeriformes; Turdidae
Exons: 5
Source: RefSeq, a predicted model, not a curated record